CACGUGCUGUGUUAUGGUCGAUGGCUCCUGGGGGUGCUGCCCCAUGCCCCAGGCUUCCUGCUGUGAAGACAGGGUGCACUGCUGUCCACAUGGUGCCUUCUGCGACCUAGUUCACACCCGCUGCAUCACACCCACGGGCACCCACCCCCUGGCAAAGAAGCUCCCUGCCCAGAGGACUAACAGGGCAGUGGCCUUGUCCAGCUCAGUCAUGUGUCCGGAUGCACGGUCCCAGUGCCCUGAUGGUUCUACCUGCUGUGAGCUGCCCAGUGGGAAGUAUGGCUGCUGCCCAAUGCCCAAUGCCACCUGCUGCUCCGAUCACCUGCACUGCUGCCCCCAAGACACUGUGUGUGACCUGAUCCAGAGUAAGUGCCUCUCCAAGGAGAACGCUACUACGGACCUCCUCACUAAGCUGCCUGCGCACACAGGUACCAGAGGCAGGGCGCAGAUACAGGGGUAGGGCCCCCUUUCCUCCCUUUUAGGCCUGGCCUUAGGAUCACUGCAAGGUGGCGUAAGCGGUACCCUCCAUCUUCAACACCUGGUUGCAGCUGUGGAGCUGGCAAAG
This 562-nucleotide small RNA is filed under the name Pongo abelii (Sumatran orangutan). RNAcentral describes it as "retained intron". Lineage: Eukaryota; Metazoa; Chordata; Mammalia; Primates; Hominidae. The record is from RNAcentral.